CUCCACCAGAGCGUGAACAGCCAAAAAGGCCUCCAUGAUGCUGGGCCCUAACACCCAGAGAGGAUCCGGGAGCUCCACGGAGAAAUGAGAAACCCAGGAAGGAACACACCAGGCUAGAUGUAAGGUAGAAUGAGCCAUAGAAUAUGCCAUCGGAAUGAAGAGAAUAGCUUCGUCUUUCAGACAUGAGAUGAUUCCCAACA
RNAcentral lists this long non-coding RNA (200 nucleotides) under Fukomys damarensis (Damara mole-rat). Its description in RNAcentral is "lncRNA (ENSFDAG00000024607.1)". Lineage: Eukaryota; Metazoa; Chordata; Mammalia; Rodentia; Bathyergidae. The record is from RNAcentral.